UGAAGCUACUAAGAGCGUAUGGUGGAUGCCUUGGCAUCGAGAGGCGAUGAAAGACGUUGUAGCCUGCGAUAAGCUACGGGGAGCUGGCAAACAAGCUUCGAUCCGUAGAUUUCUGAAUGGGGAAACCCGGCCAUUUAUGGUCAUUCAUAUCUGAAUGCAUAGGAUAUGAAAGCGAACCUGGUGAACUGAAACAUCUAAGUA
Molecule: ribosomal RNA, 201 nt
Filed under: Trieres chinensis
Lineage: Eukaryota; Bacillariophyta; Thalassiosirophyceae; Eupodiscales; Parodontellaceae
Description: partial Bacterial large subunit ribosomal RNA
Rfam family: Bacterial large subunit ribosomal RNA
Source: RNAcentral